ACGCUGGCGGAAUGCUUAACACAUGCAAGUCGUGCGGUAACACUUCGGGUGACGAGCGGCGGACGGGUGCGUAACGCGUGAGAAUCUACCUUUUAGUGGGGGACAACUCGGGGAAACUCGAGCUAAUACCGCAUAUGUUCUAAGGAAUAAAGCAGGGGACCUUCGGGCCUUGCGCUAAAAGAUGAGCUCGCGUGAGAUUAGCUUGUUGGUGAGGUAAUGGCUCACCAAGGCGACGAUCUCUAGCUGGUCUGAGAGGAUGAUCAGCCACACUGGGACUGAGACACGGCCCAGACUCCUACGGGAGGCAGCAGUGGGGAAUAUUGGACAAUGGGGGCAACCCUGAUCCAGCAAUUCCGCGUGUGUGAAGAAGGCCUGCGGGUUGUAAAGCACUUUCAGUAGCCAAGAUGGGAUUAUUCAUU
RNAcentral lists this ribosomal RNA (419 nucleotides) under uncultured bacterium. RNAcentral describes it as "bacterial SSU rRNA". It matches the Rfam family "Bacterial small subunit ribosomal RNA", at positions 33 to 462 of the family's 1533-position model. The record is from RNAcentral.